RNAcentral lists this transfer RNA (64 nucleotides) under Loxodonta africana (African savanna elephant). It matches the Rfam family "tRNA". From Rfam's summary of the family: Transfer RNA (tRNA) molecules are approximately 80 nucleotides in length. Their secondary structure includes four short double-helical elements and three loops (D, anti-codon, and T loops). Further hydrogen bonds mediate the characteristic L-shaped molecular structure. tRNAs have two regions of fundamental functional importance: the anti-codon, which is responsible for specific mRNA codon recognition, and the 3' end, to which the tRNAs corresponding amino acid is attached (by aminoacyl-tRNA synthetases). tRNAs cope with the degeneracy of the genetic code in two manners: having more than one tRNA (with a specific anti-codon) for a particular amino acid; and 'wobble' base-pairing, i.e. permitting non-standard base-pairing at the 3rd anti-codon position. The record is from Rfam by way of RNAcentral. Lineage: Eukaryota; Metazoa; Chordata; Mammalia; Proboscidea; Elephantidae.
GGUAGCACAGUGGUUAAGCAUUUGGCUGCUAACCAAGAGGUCAGUGGUUCAAAUCCACUGACCA